GACACUAUGGCCGAGUGGUCUAAGGCGAUUGACUAGAAAUCAAUUCUCUUCGGGGGCGUCGGUUCGAAUCCGACUGGUGUCG
Non-coding RNA from Arachnomyces sp. PD_36, 82 nucleotides. NCBI's taxonomy places the organism in Eukaryota, Fungi, Ascomycota, Eurotiomycetes, Onygenales, Arachnomycetaceae. The record is from the annotation of a GenBank genome assembly.